Molecule: long non-coding RNA, 252 nt
Filed under: Manihot esculenta (cassava)
Lineage: Eukaryota; Viridiplantae; Streptophyta; Magnoliopsida; Malpighiales; Euphorbiaceae
Description: long non-coding RNA (MESC_LNC011641)
Source: RNAcentral
GCAGGACAGUCCUGCAACUCUUCUAGUUGCACCUCUUCAACUUCCAUCGCAUGAAACUCCUUUCAUUCUUCCAUUACAGAUCAAUCUUGCGCAAGAAGGAGUACCUGAAAUCCUCUCAGGCGCGUCCUUUUAGCUUCCAACACAAAUCAGUCUUCCACCUCAGUUAGGUCCUAUGCAGAAGGAGGAAACUGAAACUCCUUUCAUCCUUCCAAUGCAAAUAGUCCAUGCCUAGGAGGAACAAAUGGUAGUCCA